AUGAACUGGCCAGUCAUAUAGGAGAGGUGUUAAUGAACUGGCCAGUCAUAUUGGAGAGGUGUUAAUGAAACGGCCAGUCAUAUUGGAGAGGUGUUAAUGAACUGGCCAGUCAUAUUGGCUAGGUGUUAAUGAACUGGCCAAUCAUAUUGGCCAGGUGUUAAUGAACUGGCCAGGUGUUAAUGAACUGGCCAGGUGUUAAUGAACUGGCCAGUCAUAUUGGCUAGGUGUUUAUGAACCGGCCAGUCAUAUUGGAGAGGUGUUAAUGAACCGGCCAGGUGUUAAUGAACUGGCCAGGUGUUAACGAACUGGCCAGGUGUUAAUGAACUGGCCAGGUGUUAAUGAACUGGCCAGGUGUUUAUGAACCGGCCAGUCAUAUUGGAGAGGUGUUAAUGAACUGACCAGUCAUAUUGGCUAGGUGUUAAUGAACUGGCCAGGUGUUAAUGAACUGGCCAGGUGUUAAUGAACUGGCCAGGUGUUUAUGAACCGGCCAGUCAUAUUGGAGAGGUGUUAAUGAACUGACCAGUCAUAUUGGCUAGGUGUUAAUGAACUGGCCAGGUGUUAAUGAACUGGCCAGGUGUUAAUGAACUGGCCAGGUGUUUAUGAACCGGCCAGUCAUAUUGGAGAGGUGUUAAAGAACUGGCCAGUCAUAUUGGAGAGGUGUUAAUGAACUGGCCAGUCAUAUAGGAGAGGUGUUAAUGAACUGGCCAGUCAUAUUGGAGAGGUGUUAAUGAAACGGCCAGUCAUAUUGGAGAGGUGUUAAUGAACUGGCCAGUCAUAUUGGAGAGAUGUUAAUGAACCGGCCAGUCAUAUUGGAGAGGUGUUAAUGAACUGGCCAGUCAUAUUGGCUAGGUGUUAAUGAACUGGCCAAUCAUAUUGGCCAGGUGUUAAUGAACUGGCCAGGUGUUAAUGAACUGGCCAGGUGUUAAUGAACUGGCCAGUCAUAUUGGCUAGGUGUUUAUGAACCGGCCAGUCAUAUUGGAGAGGUGUUAAUGAACCGGCCAGGUGUUAAUGAACUGGCCAGGUGUUAACGAACUGGCCAGGUGUUAAUGAACUGGCCAGGUGUUAAUGAACUGGCCAGGUGUUAAUGAACUGGCCAGGUGUUUAUGAACCGGCCAGUCAUAUUGGAGAGGUGUUAAAGAACUGGCUAGUCAUAUUGGAGAGGUGUUAAUGAACUGGCCAGUCAUAUAGGAGAGGUGUUAAUGAACUGGCCAGUCAUAUUGGAGAGGUGUUAAUGAACCGGCCAGUCAUAUUGGAGAGGUGUUAAUGAACUGGCCAGUCAUAUUGGCUAGGUGUUAAUGAACUGGCCAGUCAUAUUGGCCAGGUGUUAAUGAACUGGCCAGGUGUUAAUGAACUGGCCAGGUGUUAACGAACUGGCCAGGUGUUAAUGAACUGGCCAGGUGUUAAUGAACUGGCCAGUCAUAUUGGAGAGGUGUUAAUGAACUGGCCAGUCAUAUUGGAGAGGUGUUAAUGAACUGACCAGUCAUAUUGGAGAGGUGUUAAUGAACCGGCCAGUCAUAUAGGAGACGUGUUAAUGAACCGGCCAGUCAUAUAGGAGACGUGUUAAUGAACUGGCCAGGUGUUAAUGAACUGGCCAGGUGUUAAUGAACUGGCCAGUCAUAUUGGAGAGGUGUUAAUGAAGUGGCCAGUCAUAUUGGCCAGGUGUUAAUGAACUGGCCAGUCAUAUUGGCCAGGUGUUAAUGAACUGGCCAGUCAUAUUGGCUAGGUGUUAAUGAACUGGCCAGUCAUAUUGGCCAGGUGUUAAUGAACUGGCCAGUCAUAUUGGAGAGGUGUUAAUGAACCGGCCAGUCAUAUUGGAGAGGUGUUUAUGAACUGGCCAGUCAUAUUGGCCAGGUGUUAAUGAACUGGCCAGUCAUAUUGGCCAGGUGUUAAUGAACUGGCCAGGUGUUAAUGAACUGGCCAGUCAUAUUGGAGAGGUGUUAAUGAACCGGCCAGUCAUAUUGGAGAGGUGUUAAUGAACUGACCAGUCAUAUUGGAGAGGUGUUAAUGAACCGGCCAGUCAUAUUGGAGAGGUGUUAAUGAACUGACCAGUCAUAUUGGAGAGGUGUUAAUGAACCGGCCAGUCAUAUUGGAGAGGUGUUAAUGAACUGGCCAGUCAUAUUGGAGAGGUGUUAAUGAACCGGCCAGUCAUAUUGGAGAGGUGUUAAUGAACUGACCAGUCAUAUUGGAGAGGUGUUAAUGAACCGGCCAGUCAUAUUGGAGAGGUGUUUAUGAACCGGCCAGUCAUAUUGGAGAGGUGUUAAUGAACUGACCAGUCAUAUUGGAGAGGUGUUAAUGAAGUGGCCAGUCAUAUUGGCCAGGUGUUAAUGAACUGGCCAGGUGUUAAUGAACUGGCCAGGUGUUUAUGAACCGGCCAGUCAUAUUGGCCAGGUGUUAAUGAACUGGCCAGUCAUAUUGGCUAGGUGUUAAUGAAGUGGCCAGUCAUAUAGGAGAGGUGUUAAUGAAGUGGCCAGUCAUAUUGGAGAGUUAAUGAGGUGAGCCUCAGUGCAGCAUAUUUGUUUUCCUCUAGCUGACUCCUCCCCCUCCUGCCUUUCCGUCCCCAGCCUGUCCGAACAAGUCUCAGUGCAGCAUAUUUGUUUUCCUCUAGCUGACUCCUCCCCCUCCUGCCUUUCCGUCCCCAGCCUGUCCUAACAAGUCUCAGUGCAGCAUAUUUGUUUUCCUCUAGCUGACUCCUCCCCCUCCUGCCUUUCCGUCCCCAGCCUGUCCGAACAAGUCUCAGUGCAGCAUAUUUGUUUUCCUCUAGCUGACUCCUCCCCUCCUGCCUUUCCGUCCCCAGCCUGUCCUAACAAGUCUCAGUGCAGCAUAUUUGUUUUCCUCUAGCUGACUCCUCCCCCUCCUGCCUUUCCGUCCCCAGCCUGUCCUAACAAGUCUCAGUGCAGCAUAUUUGUUUUCCUCUAGCUGAC
Molecule: long non-coding RNA, 2921 nt
Organism: Oncorhynchus keta (chum salmon)
Lineage: Eukaryota; Metazoa; Chordata; Actinopteri; Salmoniformes; Salmonidae
Exons: 8
Source: RefSeq, a predicted model, not a curated record